Molecule: ribosomal RNA, 261 nt
Filed under: uncultured Phyllobacterium sp.
Lineage: Bacteria; Pseudomonadati; Pseudomonadota; Alphaproteobacteria; Hyphomicrobiales; Phyllobacteriaceae
Description: partial 16S ribosomal RNA
Rfam family: Bacterial small subunit ribosomal RNA
Source: RNAcentral
GAGUUUGAUCCUGGCUCAGAACGAACGCUGGCGGCAGGCUUAACACAUGCAAGUCGAGCGCCCCGCAAGGGGAGCGGCAGACGGGUGAGUAACGCGUGGGAAUCUACCCAUCUCUACGGAAUAACGCAUGGAAACGUGUGCUAAUACCGUAUACGUCCUUCGGGAGAAAGAUUUAUCGGAGAUGGAUGAGCCCGCGUUGGAUUAGCUAGUUGGUGGGGUAAAGGCCUACCAAGGCGACGAUCCAUAGCUGGUCUGAGAGGA